This 407-nucleotide ribosomal RNA is filed under the name uncultured Streptomyces sp. RNAcentral describes it as "bacterial SSU rRNA". It matches the Rfam family "Bacterial small subunit ribosomal RNA", at positions 355 to 774 of the family's 1533-position model. The record is from RNAcentral. Lineage: Bacteria; Bacillati; Actinomycetota; Actinomycetes; Kitasatosporales; Streptomycetaceae.
UGGGGAAUAUUGCACAAUGGGCGAAAGCCUGAUGCAGCGACGCCGCGUGAGGGAUGACGGCCUUCGGGUUGUAAACCUCUUUCAGCAGGGAAGAAGCGCAAGUGACGGUACCUGCAGAAGAAGCACCGGCUAACUACGUGCCAGCAGCCGCGGUAAUACGUAGGGUGCGAGCGUUGUCCGGAAUUAUUGGGCGUAAAGAGCUCGUAGGCGGUCUGUCACGUCGGAUGUGAAAGCCCGGGGCUUAACCCCGGGUCUGCAUUCGAUACGGGCAGACUAGAGUGUGGUAGGGGAGAUCGGAAUUCCUGGUGUAGCGGUGAAAUGCGCAGAUAUCAGGAGGAACACCGGUGGCGAAGGCGGAUCUCUGGGCCAUUACUGACGCUGAGGAGCGAAAGCGUGGGGAGCGAACA